Molecule: long non-coding RNA, 235 nt
Filed under: Theobroma cacao (cacao)
Lineage: Eukaryota; Viridiplantae; Streptophyta; Magnoliopsida; Malvales; Malvaceae
Description: long non-coding RNA (TCAC_LNC002739)
Source: RNAcentral
UUCCUCUGAAAACGAGGCACAGAUUUUACAGGAAAAAAUUGGAUCACCCUACCCCUAUUAGCAAGGCCAGUCACAGGACCAGCCAACAGGAGGGAUUGCAUGGCACUUGAUGCAGCCAUUUUCUAGCACGCCUAUAAUUUCUGACCUGAACAAGAAUAGCAAAAGCUAGGGAAGAUCUUUGAGGAGGUAUAAAGCAAGAAGCCAAGAACUUUAUUAACCUAUAGCUUAAUCAAGA